UUAAUUUUAAACUUCGUAAAUUUAUAAUUUGAAAUGUACAUUUAAACACCGUUAACGAAUGAUAAUAAUAAUCAUCGCGUAAAGAAAAAGAAUAAAAAUCUAAAUCAAUUUAGCUUUGUCAAUGAACAGUUAAAAUCAUCUAUACGAAAAGAAGAAGGAAGACAAAUAAGAAAGGCCGUUAACCUAAAUAUCUCGAUCAGAUCUGACUAAGCAUUGGCGCACAUCCUCUCACGCGCAUCAUUAUCGCGAUCACCCGGUUCUCAUUCUCUCUCUUUAUCUCCCGUUACGAUUUCCUCUACUUUCAAAUAACUAAUUAAAUGAAUUUAAAACUCUCCUUUCACAUGAUUGCGCGAAAUUCUUCGAAAUUUUUAUUUCAUUGCUCAACAUUAGAACUGAAGAGUGAAAAAAUGAUAAUGUGAUUCAGUUAGAUUGAUUUUUUUAUGAAACUAGAAGUAGUAUGCAACGAUUUGUUAAUUAGUUAAUGAAUGAAAGGAAAUUCGAAAACGAAAGAUGAAAAGUGAGAACCGAUGAUGUUCGUCCUUGUUCGUUAGUGAAUUGAAUAAAAAUGGAAAGUGUAUUGUUACAAUUUAUGUUGGAGAAUCGAUUUAAUUGUGUGCUAAUUUCAACCGCGUGAAGGUUAGGGUUGACCCAAGGUUCAGACACCUGCCAACCAGUUAAUAGAACUUGAUGUUGGAAAAUUCCAAACACUAUUAAAUCACCACUUCGCUCACUGAUUCGAUGCGAUGUAAUAGAUUUUAUGGAUGAGGAAGCAUGCGUUGUUUCGUUUUGCACAUUCAUAUCUGGUGAAAUACGAUUUACUUAUUUAUUUCCUAUAUUAGAUACUAUGUUAAUAGGUGGCAAAAACUAUUCAACGAGAUAAAUAUCGAAGUUUCCGCUCUGAUUCUAUUCCAUUCCACUUCUAACAUUUCUAACCAAUGAAAUAUUUCGUUUCAGUUCACUAAAAUUUAUGUAUGUAUAGCAUCUUUUUUCCACCUGGUUAAACUCUAGUCGUUCCUCUUUGAGUAGUUUAAAUAUCGUUCUGUUCAGAUCCGUGUCGUCUCUUUUCAAUCGAGAUUUUACCGUUGGAAUUCGUACAA
Long non-coding RNA from Apis florea (little honeybee), 1097 nucleotides. The record is from RefSeq and is a predicted model, not a curated record. Lineage: Eukaryota; Metazoa; Arthropoda; Insecta; Hymenoptera; Apidae.